UCGACUCUUAUCCCUAAUUCAUCGACUGGUAAGCCAUUUUAGGUAGAAGCAGAGUAGUAGCAGAUACUCAUAGGAACACAUAAGAAAGGGUAAACCUUCUCUCUCGGUCUCUCAAUUUCGCCAACUGCUUUCUUUUACUCUCUGCGUUGCAUCUGCAAGGCCAGGGUUUUCUUUGAGCAAAGGUUGGAAAUGGAAAAUGGUGUUGAGCGAGUUGAUGGGUCACCUGUGGUAGAGAAAAACCAAGUGGAAGAUGAGGUAGCUGGGGAAAGGGUGGAGGUGAAGGAUGUGGAUGGCAGUGAUGAGUUGAAGGAUUUUGAAGAUGGUGUUUUUGAGGAGGCAGUGGAUUCCCAAGAGGUUGUGCAGAUCCAGGGAAUGAAUCCUGAUUCUGAAAACAUUGCUGAGAGUGUUGUUGAUUCAGGUCGUCCAGUGGCGGUUGAUGAAAAUUCUAAUAUAGGACACAAGACAGAGACUUUUGAGGAGAUGAUUGGGGUUUCUGGUGAGGAGGUGGAGGUGGCUGGAGCUGAAGUUGGCCUGGAAAAUGUGGAGGAUUUGGUGUCUGGGCUGAGUGCUGAUGGGGCUGUGGUGUCGGAUAACAUUGAUGAGGGAGGUACUGGGAAAGAAGUCACAAGUGAUGGAUUGCAUGAGAAAACUGAGCUGCCUGAAGCUGCUACUGACAGUACAACAAAAGUUUUAGAUACCUCCUAUGAAGUGGGUAUGAAAUCUUGUGUGGUACCAGAUGAUCCCGAAAUUGUAGACUCCCAUGAUUCCAGAGUAGAGGAAAAUCCAUAUGGUGAAAAUCUUGAAAAUGGGGAUAACAGUAUGACGAAGGCGAAUGCUGUUGAUUAUUGUCAAAAAAUCGAAUCUAUUAGAGAGAUUUUGCCUGCAGAUGCCAAGGGUGAGAAAUUGAAGGAUAAUAAUUUCGACACUGGUCACCAAGGUAUGGUGACAGGAAAACUGGUAGAUAUUUCAACAGGCAUUCCUAUUGUGCUGCAGGCUGAUAAAGAUGAAGUAAAUGGCAAUGUAGCUGGAAUUGAUGCAGAAUGCCAGGAUGACAAGAACAGGGAAUUGAAAGAUAGAAAUGGAAAUGGAAGUAAUGGGGAGGUGAGUGAUGCGCUGGCUGUAUUGGAUUUUGAGAAAAUUGGGGAAACUCAUGGAGUUAAUGAUGCAUCCGUUAACCCAGGCCCAUCAGUGAAAAAUGUAAUUGUGACUAAUGAUGUUCAAAGCUUGACUUCAGAAAAUUCAGCAAUUGAGAAAAAUGAGAAGAUUAAUGCUGUUGCGUCAGAUUUAAGCAGUGAUGAUAGUAAAGGUUCUCAACCUCAAGUAACAGAUGAAAAGGUUAAUGAAGAAGUCAGCCUCAGGUAUCUUUUAUCUAAGAAUGCUAUCAGGAAGGUGACAAAGGAUCAAGUAGAGAAUCAAAGGACUCAAGUGAGUACAGAACGUGAAAUUCAGCCUGAGGUAGAACUUGCUUCUUCCUCUGGAAAAUCUUCCAUUCCAGUUCCUCCUCCUGCUCGACCUGCUGGCCUUGGCAGAGCCGCACCUUUGCUGGAGCCUGCGCCUCGUGUAGUACAGCAACCCCGUGUAAAUGGAGCUGUUACUUCUGUGCAACCACAACAAAUUGAAGAUGGCGCUAAUGGGGAAGGAGAGGAAUAUGAUGAGACGCGCGAAAAGCUUCAGAUGAUAAGGGUGAAAUUUUUGAGGCUUGCUCAUAGGCUUGGGCAGACUCCACAUAAUGUUGUUGUGGCACAAGUCUUGUAUAGACUGGGAUUAGCUGAGCAGUUGCGAGGGAGAAAUGGGGGUCGUGUGGGUGCCUUCAGCUUUGAUCGAGCAAGUGCCAUGGCAGAACAACUUGAGGCUGCUGGGCAGGAGCCCCUUGAUUUCUCUUGCACAAUAUUGGUUCUCGGAAAGACAGGCGUUGGUAAAAGUGCAACCAUCAAUUCAAUAUUUGAUGAGGUUAUGUUUGGCACUGAUGCUUUUCACACUGGUACAAGGAGGGUUCAGGAUGUUGUGGGAACUGUGCAGGGGAUCAAUGUUCGUGUAAUUGACACACCAGGUCUUUUACCUUCUUGGUCUGACCAACGGCAGAAUGAGAAAAUUCUCAACUCUGUUAAGUGUUUUAUCAAGAAAACACCUCCAGAUAUUGUGUUGUAUCUUGAUAGAUUGGACAUGCAGAGCAGAGAUUUUGGUGAUAUGCCUCUCCUGCGCACAAUCACUGAGAUAUUUGGACCAUCUAUAUGGUUUAAUGCAAUAGUGGUUCUGACUCAUGCUGCUUCUGCCCCACCUGAUGGUCCCAAUGGUGCUGCUUCAAGCUAUGACAUGUUUGUCACUCAACGUUCUCAUGUUGUCCAGCAAGCCAUUCGUCAGGCGGCUGGGGAUAUGCGUCUCAUGAACCCUGUUGCAUUAGUAGAGAACCACUCUGCAUGCAGAACAAAUAGGGCUGGACAGAGAGUGUUGCCAAACGGUCAGGUUUGGAAGCCCCAUUUGCUUCUGUUGUCUUUUGCAUCAAAAAUUCUUGCUGAAGCAAACACUCUUUUGAAGUUGCAAGAUAGUCCACCUGCAAAGCCAUUUGUGCCACGAUCAAGGGCACCUCCUUUACCGUUUCUUCUGUCAUCACUUCUUCAAUCAAGACCACAAGUUAAGCUGCCCGAAGAGCAGUUUAGCGAUGAAGAUGAUCAAGAUGAUGAUUUGGAUGAGUUGUCAGAUUCUGAUGAUGAAGGCUACGAUAAUUUGCCACCAUUUAAGCGGUUGUCAAACGCCCAGGUGGCAAAGCUAACUAAAGCUCAGAGUAAGGCAUAUUUUGAUGAAUUAGAAUACAGGGAAAAACUUUUUAUGAAGAAACAGUUAAAGGAAGAGAAAAGGAGAAAGAAGAUGAUAAAGAAAAUGGCUGCGGCAGCAAAGGAUAUGCCAAGUGACUACAGUGAAAGUGUAGAAGAAAGUGGCGGUGCUGCAUCUGUGCCAGUCCCUAUGCCAGAUCUGGCCUUGCCUGCCUCUUUUGAUUCUGAUAAUCCCACUCACCGAUACCGUUAUCUUGAUUCUAACAACCAGUGGCUUGUACGGCCUGUUCUUGAAACUCUUGGUUGGGACCACGACGUUGGUUACGAAGGCAUAAAUGUAGAAAGGUUAUUUGUUGUCAAAGACAAAAUUCCUUUGUCUUUCUCUGGCCAGGUUACAAAGGAUAAGAAGGAUGCGAAUGUUCAGAUGGAAUUAGCCGGCUCAAUAAAGCAUGGGGAGGGGAAAGUGUCAUCCUUAGGUUUUGAUAUGCAAACUGUUGGGAAGGAUUUAGCUUAUACCCUACGAGGUGAGACAAGGUUCUUUAACUUCAAGAAGAAUAAAGCAACGGGUGGUCUCUCAGUUACCCUCUUGGGCGAUGCCUUAUCUGGCGGAGUGAAAGUUGAAGACAAGUUAGCUGUUAACAAAAGGUUCCAAAUUGUUAUGACUGGUGGUGCAAUGACUGGUCGUGGUGACGUUGCUUAUGGUGGUAGCCUGGAGGCCCAAUUGAGAGACAAGGAUUAUCCUCUUGGUCGUUCACUGUCAACUCUUGGGCUUUCCGUGAUGGAUUGGCAUGGAGAUCUUGCUGUUGGAUGUAAUAUACAAUCCCAAAUACCUUUAGGACGAUCAACAAACUUGAUUGGUAGGGCCAAUUUGAAUAACAGGGGAGCAGGACAGUUGAGUAUCCGUCUAAACAGCUCAGAACAACUUCAAAUUGCUUUGUUUGGCCUCAUCCCCCUAUUGAAAAAGCUACUUGGUUAUUACCAGCAAAUGCAGUUUGAAUGAUCAAAAUUUUGUCGUAGGUGCUGCAGCAGCUGUAUGCCUCAACAGGAAAUAAUGACUGAACCAGACUAACCAUUCACGUUGUGGGUCUUUAAAAUGGCCUUGAUGGUGGGUAAUCCGCUGUUACUGUAGUUAUCUGUUUUUAUAUGUUACUCUAGAUCCUUGCUUAAUGCGUCUUUUAUAGUUCACAUCUAAUUCUUAUCUAUUAUCUAUUGGUUUGGGAGGUGUGUCAUAUCAAACCAAACUUUGUGUUUUCUCCAUCAGUUUUCUAUCAUCCCCUUUAUUUAUAGAUUAAUGUCUAGUUUUUAUGUAAAUCUGAUGAACCUUUUGAUCUAUGAUAAAGCCAUAGUCU
Tripterygium wilfordii is the source of this 4120-nucleotide RNA transcript. It is a transcript of the gene named translocase of chloroplast 120, chloroplastic-like, with no coding region annotated. The record is from RefSeq and is a predicted model, not a curated record. Lineage: Eukaryota; Viridiplantae; Streptophyta; Magnoliopsida; Celastrales; Celastraceae. The transcript has 3 exons.